RNAcentral lists this unclassified non-coding RNA (579 nucleotides) under Penicillium jejuense. RNAcentral's name for it is "sequence contains 18S rRNA gene, ITS1, 5.8S rRNA gene, ITS2, 28S rRNA gene". The stretch from base 206 to 359 matches the Rfam family "5.8S ribosomal RNA". The record is from RNAcentral. Lineage: Eukaryota; Fungi; Ascomycota; Eurotiomycetes; Eurotiales; Aspergillaceae.
CUUCCGUAGGUGAACCUGCGGAAGGAUCAUUACUGAGUGAGGGCCCUCUGGGUCCAACCUCCCACCCGUGUUUAUUGUACCUUGUUGCUUCGGUGCGCCCGCCUCACGGCCGCCGGGGGGCUUCUGCCCCCGGGUCCGCGCGCACCGGAGACACCAUUGAACUCUGUCUGAAGAUUGCAGUCUGAGCAUAAACUAAAUAAGUUAAAACUUUCAACAACGGAUCUCUUGGUUCCGGCAUCGAUGAAGAACGCAGCGAAAUGCGAUAACUAAUGUGAAUUGCAGAAUUCAGUGAAUCAUCGAGUCUUUGAACGCACAUUGCGCCCCCUGGUAUUCCGGGGGGCAUGCCUGUCCGAGCGUCAUUGCUGCCCUCAAGCACGGCUUGUGUGUUGGGCUCCGUCCCCCCGGGGACGGGCCCGAAAGGCAGCGGCGGCACCGAGUCCGGUCCUCGAGCGUAUGGGGCUUUGUCACCCGCUCUGUAGGCCCGGCCGGCGCCAGCCGACAACCCAUCAUCCUUUUCAGGUUGACCUCGGAUCAGGUAGGGAUACCCGCUGAACUUAAGCAUAUCAAUAAGCGGAGGAA